GUAGGUGAACCUGCGGAAGGAUCAUUACAUUCAGUAGUUUACUACUGUUUUGAGGGAAACGGAAAGUCCAUGGGCUGCUUCGGUAGUCUGUGUGAGGAGUACGUCCCCUCUUUACACCCUUGUCUUUUUGCGUACUCAUGUUUCCUCGGCGGGCUUGCCCGCCGGUCGGACAUUUAAUAACCUUUUUAAUCUUCAAUCAGCGUCUGAAUAAUUAUAAUAAUUACAACUUUCAACAACGGAUCUCUUGGUUCUG
RNAcentral lists this unclassified non-coding RNA (253 nucleotides) under rhizosphere metagenome. RNAcentral describes it as "partial ribosomal RNA internal transcribed spacer region". The record is from RNAcentral.